This 293-nucleotide ribosomal RNA is filed under the name Limosilactobacillus fermentum. RNAcentral's name for it is "Lactobacillus fermentum partial 16S ribosomal RNA". It matches the Rfam family "Bacterial small subunit ribosomal RNA", at positions 966 to 1260 of the family's 1533-position model. Lineage: Bacteria; Bacillati; Bacillota; Bacilli; Lactobacillales; Lactobacillaceae. The record is from RNAcentral.
GAACCUUACCAGGUCUUGACAUCUUGCGCCAACCCUAGAGAUAGGGCGUUUCCUUCGGGAACGCAAUGACAGGUGGUGCAUGGUCGUCGUCAGCUCGUGUCGUGAGAUGUUGGGUUAAGUCCCGCAACGAGCGCAACCCUUGUUACUAGUUGCCAGCAUUAAGUUGGGCACUCUAGUGAGACUGCCGGUGACAAACCGGAGGAAGGUGGGGACGACGUCAGAUCAUCAUGCCCCUUAUGACCUGGGCUACACACGUGCUACAAUGGACGGUACAACGAGUCGCGAACUCGCGA